Molecule: long non-coding RNA, 2030 nt
Filed under: Sorghum bicolor (sorghum)
Lineage: Eukaryota; Viridiplantae; Streptophyta; Magnoliopsida; Poales; Poaceae
Description: long non-coding RNA (SBIC_LNC007574)
Source: RNAcentral
CAUGAGAAGGAGAUGAUAGCUAAAUAGCUUAGGUGGUCAGGUUUGCUGCAAGAAGAUAGAUGAUUCCACGAAGAACCAGAUGGUUGUGCUUCCACACGGUCGAUAUAGUUAAUAAACUGCUAGCUUCAGUAAUGGACAAAUUCAUAAUCUAUCAUUCAUAAAAGAGACAUGGUCUGAUAGUAAAUUUUAUUUUCAGAGGUUAGUUGCCUGCGUUGAGGAAAUAACUUCUGAAUUCUGAUAAUCUUUAGCUGAUAUGAUGUCCAAAAUAAUAUUUUUUAUAAUAUCAAAAAUAACUGAUAUGGUGUAUACAUCAGUUCCAUGUAAAUAAGACUCAAUUAAGAGAGACUAAGUAUUAAUAUCAUUUUUUUAGAAAAUUUACAUUUAUAGUUUUUUUUAAAAAAUGAGAUGUCCAAGUAGGCAAGUACUCUCAUGAGUCUACAUGUGUGUGUAAACUGUUCUGAUAAAUUUAGAGACUGGUAAUGGCAGCGUAAUGAGAUUAUCUAAAAUCUCAGCUCUACUCUGUUCCUGAAUUAUCUACUGUCUUUUUUCUUCAAGUUUGUGUAAGCUUUUCACAUAGAGAAGAAGAAAAGCAUUGCUCAAUCUAUCUUCAAGUUUGUGUAAGCUUUUCACAUAGAGAAGAAGAAAAGCAUUGCUCAAUCUAAAAGAAUGUUGGGCUUUCAUGGUUGGGUUCAUUGCCGUCUGAGUUAGCUGAGCUAACCUCUAUUAAAUCUAUGGCUUGUAUUUCAGUUCUUCAGGAUUGUUUUGGCUUGAGAAUUUAGACUCAGUUGCCACGUUCAGUUUAGUGCAAUAUUGCAGAGUAUGGUUCUGAUUCAUCAUUUGCUAUGUCAGUACACAUAUAUAGAUAAUAAUCUUUGGAAGUGCAUCUGAAACUAUCUUUAUAGUCUGCAACGGCUACAUGAAUGAAGACAAUGUGAAUACUGCUUGUUCUAUGAUGUGAAAGGAAAUAGAACUAAAGAGGGGAGAUUGUUACCAUGAUAUGUGACACUGUAAAAACUCCAAUCAUACCAUCGUUGUCUGGAGGUAGCUCCAAUCCUGAAUCUUCUCCAAAAAACAAAACCUGAAAUACCAGGUUUGGGUCGAGCGCCAGGUCAAAAAUCAUGGCCCAAACAAGCAGUACACACUACACAAAAAAUCAAUACAAAAAGAUUGACAACUCAAAUGGUCGUAGAAAAGGUGCACGAAAAUCUCUAUAGCCCAGUCAAAUAAGUAAUAAAAAAAGGUCCGAAAUGAGCCGUAGGAGGGCUUGCCUCCAGUUUAUUAAUACCUGGCCUUCUCUUUCUGCAAGUAAAUAUUGUCACUGCCCAACAACUAACGCUUUGUCCAAGAUUAACAUAUUUGUGUGUUCACUAAAACAAGUAAGUCUAAAUUUAUAGAUGCAAAACAAUGGAGUAGUAGAUGCAACUUUGCAGAUACAGAACGUGCAUAGAUGACCAAUAUCAGUAUCAAGUAUCAACACAUCACUAAUAGCAGUGUGGACUAGUUCAUGCUUGUUAUUUAGUAAGCAAGAAAGAGGGCUUGGACUUCCAUGGUAAUCAAGAGUUCUAUGGCAGUAAGGAAGAAUAGGGAAAUAUAUAUAGUUAGUAUAUAGAUGGAGGAUUUGUACGUUGCAGCAAGUAAAUUGGCAAGGAGAUUCGAGAUCCCUGACUGGUAACUCAUUUUACAUCAUUGAGCCAGUCAGCAUGGCAGUACGAUGCAAGUAGGAACAUGCCAGUAGUGCAACCCAUGAGAAGGAGAUGAUAGCUAAAUAGCUUAGGUGGUCAGGUUAGCUGCAAGAAGGUAGAUGACUCCAGAGGGCACAGAUUAACUGAAUGACAGUAUACUGAAAUUAGCAUAUAGAAUUUUGAGGUGGUUGCAGAGAGAUUGUGAUUCAGAGAUGAAAGGCACAAAGGCAGUUGUAGUGUUUUGGCAUCCUGGUUUGUGUUCACAGUGCAUGCAUUUUUAGUUGUUCUACUCAAAGAACUCUUGAACAUACUUGUCGACAGGCAUGAUCUGAUGAUGCCCAACUUGUG